GCCAUAGCUCAGAUGGGAGAGCACCUGCUUUGCAAGCAGGGGGUCGGCGGUUCGAUCCCGCCUGGCUCCACCA
This 73-nucleotide transfer RNA is filed under the name uncultured Gammaproteobacteria bacterium. Its description in RNAcentral is "tRNA-Ala". It matches the Rfam family "tRNA". Rfam says of the family: Transfer RNA (tRNA) molecules are approximately 80 nucleotides in length. Their secondary structure includes four short double-helical elements and three loops (D, anti-codon, and T loops). Further hydrogen bonds mediate the characteristic L-shaped molecular structure. tRNAs have two regions of fundamental functional importance: the anti-codon, which is responsible for specific mRNA codon recognition, and the 3' end, to which the tRNAs corresponding amino acid is attached (by aminoacyl-tRNA synthetases). tRNAs cope with the degeneracy of the genetic code in two manners: having more than one tRNA (with a specific anti-codon) for a particular amino acid; and 'wobble' base-pairing, i.e. permitting non-standard base-pairing at the 3rd anti-codon position. The record is from RNAcentral. Lineage: Bacteria; Pseudomonadati; Pseudomonadota; Gammaproteobacteria.